GCAAACGGGGAAAUGCAAACCCCAUUUAUAGGGUCACAUUUGGAGGAGCCGGCUCCGUCGGGGGCAGGAGGGAGGAAGUGGUGGGGAGGCUCAGGGUGUGUCAGAUCCAGCCUCCCCACCUCUGCUGAGCUGGCGGCUGGACUCAAGGCCUGCCACGUCUUCCUGCUCUGCAGUGCACUAGCUGUGUGACCUUCUGCAAACUGGGUAACCACACUGCCUCCCCACCCCAUCUCCUCCAAGGUAAAGUGGAGAUUUUACCUGCUGCAAAAAGUUGGGUGAGGACUGAUGAGAGAAUGAGGGUUGAUAAGAGAAGGUGAAGGAAGAGAAGGGAAAAUGUGAAAGACAAUAUUCCAGUCUCCACUGAAUGUGUGGGCACUUCAGUCUCGUGGCAAGUUCAGGCCAAGGGGACAGCUGCUGAAAUGUGGGGGUCCAGGGGCUGCAGAGGGGUUCUGCUGCCUAGCAUUUAAAAGAAGAGGGAAGUAAAUAUUUCUGAGCAACCAUACAGCAUUGAAAGCGAAGCCUUAUCCAUCAUCCACGUCAAAGGGGCUGGAAAGGUCCGAAUCCACCUGAAUGACAACUAAAGUUUCGAGAAUGGGAAUGCAAAAGGGGAUUCAAAGCCACCUGCAUUCCUCGGCCCAUGGCCCCUUCUACCAUCUUUGAAGGCAGCAGCAUAGCACAUCUUCGAAUCUCUCUCUGGCCCUGAAACUCUUGUCUGUGUCUUAUGAGGACCCUUGUGACUACAUUGAGCCCACCCAGAUAAUCCAGGAUAAUCUUCCAGCCUCAAGAUCCUUAACUCAAUCACAUCUGCCAAGUCCCUUUUGCCAUAUAAGGACCAAAACACCAUAUAACAUGAAGAAAGAAAACAGAGAAGAUGUGAAAAUUACAUCCAACUUUGAGCAUAAGGAUUAAAGAAUCACCAAAUGAUUAACUUCCCUCAAAAUACAAGUUUCCCAUGCUGUUUGAAUUGAAGGAAUUUUUUUCUGUUGAAAUCAAGCAUUAUUAGUAAACAGCAGUUGUGAGAACUCGAAGGGGCUAAAUUGUAGGCUUUGUUGGAAACAGGCCUGAAUAGAACAUAUUAGCAUAAAUUGUAUUUUUAUGGUUAAGCUGCAGUGUUAAAUAUCAAACUGUGCUAAACGAUUGAUUCCAUACAGCUGCUAAAUUGAACUACCUGUUAUAUCAGUUUAGUAAAUUGUCAAACUUAGAGAACUCAGCAAUUUAAUGGAUGUGUUUGUAAAAUAUCCUUAGGUACCCUGGCUUAACAUCAAGAAACAAACCACCCUCUUAGAGUGUUAAAAGUCUGUCUGUUAAAAAAAAAGAUUAACAAGGGGAUAAAUAUAAGAUUAAUUUUUAAAAGGAAAGCCAAUAUACUAUAAAAUGAACAUAAUAUGUUCAGUUCAUAGUUCAUGUCAAAAAAGUUCACAUUCUAUCUUAAUUUUCUCUACAUUAAGUAUUAAAUAAUUUUUGCCUUAUCACUAUAUUAUCAUUCAGGACACUGGAUACUGAAUUUUGCCCAGUUAAACUCACAAUCACUAUGUCUCCUUCCACUUUUGACUCUGGAUAUUUGGCAUAUUUAAUCAAAUGAGGGGUGAAAAUUAAGCAAAAUGAUGUCAUGUCAUGAUGUCAUACUUUUUGCUAAAUUUUAUAUAUUCUUUAGGAAUACUGAGCAUUUCAGAUAGGUCUCUGCCUUCUAUCUUAUAAUGGAUGUUUGUAAACCACACAGCAGAUAUUUAAUAUCCUGAGAAUAAAUACCUUGUGUAUGGCUUAGUUCUGUCAAAUGUAAAAUUAAGCAUAAAUAUUAGUAUUGAAUGCCAAAGCCAAUUGUUGAAAAUCAGAUCAUAAAAACCCUUAUUUGAGGUCUAUUAACAACUGACCAUUUGAAAUAAUCAGGGAUUAAUUAAUAAAUGGUUUGCUUAUGUCUUUUAUAUAACAAGAAGAUUGUUAGAAAAUAAAAUAAGCUAUCAUUAUCACUUCCUUCAUGUGAUUUUGCCACUCUUAUUUUGAUAGCAUCUACAUAAUAGAGAAUCAUUUUUGCUGGUUUUUAAUACUUUUCUCUCUCUCUUUUUUUUUUUUUUUUUUUUUUUUUGAGACGGAGUCUUGCUCUGUCAUCAGACUGGAGCGCAAUGGUGCGAUCUCAGCUCACUGCAACCUCCACCUCCCAGGUUCAAGUGAUUCUCCUGCCUCAGCCUCCCAAGAAGCUGGGACUACAGGUGCAUGCCACUACACUGAACUAAUUUUUGUAUUUUUAGUAGAGAAGGGGUUUCACCAUGUUGGCCAGGAUGGUCUUGAUCUCUUGACCUCAUGAUCCACCUGCCUCAGCCUCCCAAAGUGCUGAGAUUACAGGUGUGAGCCAC
This 2351-nucleotide long non-coding RNA is filed under the name Homo sapiens (human). RNAcentral's name for it is "HSALNT0005691". The record is from RNAcentral. Lineage: Eukaryota; Metazoa; Chordata; Mammalia; Primates; Hominidae.